AACGCACAUUGCGCCCCUUGGCAUUCCGAGGGGCAUGCCUGUUCGAGCGUCAUUAUGAAAAUCUCAAGCUUGUAUGUAUUAAUAAAUAAAUACAGCUUGGUGUUGGGUUUUCAUCCCUUCUGCCUCUUGAAAAAGGGGGUGGGGUGUACCUGAAAAUUAGUGGUGGUGCCACAAUGGCCUCAAGUGUAGUAGACUUGAUUUCUCACUUUAGAUGGUCACUUUGGAGUGCCUUGCCCUAUCAUUUAGAAAUGGUUUGACCUCGGAUCAGGUAGGGAUACCCGCUGAACUUAA
RNAcentral lists this unclassified non-coding RNA (291 nucleotides) under uncultured fungus. Its description in RNAcentral is "sequence contains ITS2". The record is from RNAcentral. Lineage: Eukaryota; Fungi.